Molecule: non-coding RNA, 2256 nt
Organism: Elaeis guineensis (African oil palm)
Lineage: Eukaryota; Viridiplantae; Streptophyta; Magnoliopsida; Arecales; Arecaceae
Source: RefSeq, a predicted model, not a curated record
AUUAUGAUGAUGUCCAUGUUUCAUCAUGUAUACGAAAAGAUGGAUGGAUCUCCCCAUCCAUUCUUUCUUCGGUCACUCCACCCUUCAUGGCAAAUGGAGGGUAUGUGUGAACGCUCGUUGGCUCGAUAAGCUUCGGUUUCGGUUGGUUAACCCAUGACACCCCGACCCACCUCCUUCCUGGUUCCACCCUGAACAUUCUUCCUGCUCUCGGCCUCGCCGCCUUCCGGGGGAGAUGGCUCUUGGGCUCGGCAGAGCUCUGGUUCGGCAAUGGGCGAGGAGGCCAGGACCCCAACCCCUCCUUCCCCCUCGCCCACCUCCCUCCGCUCCCUUCUCUACCGACGGCGAUGAAUUCCAGAGCUCUCGUGUCAAGAUCUUCGAUCGAGACCUCAAGCGGAAGCAGAGGGAUCGAGCUGCGUGGUUGAUGGGAGGAAAGGACGAGUUUGUGGACUCGGUGGCCGAAAACCUUCUUGAUCGCCUCGAGGAUUGCAGAAAAACAUUUCCUACAGCACUAUGUCUUGGAGGUUCAUCUGAGGCGAUUAGACGUUUGUUACGUGGGCGUGGUGGUAUUGAAAAGCUUAUCAUGAUGGAUACAUCAUUUGACAUGGUUAAGCGAUUAAAAGAUUCAGAAAAGAAUUUUCCCAACAACAACUUUGAGACUUUCUUUGUGGUUGGAGAUGAAGAGUUCUUGCCAAUAAAAGAAAGCUCUGUGGAAUUGGUAAUCAGUUGCUUGGGACUUCAUUGGACAAAUGAUCUUCCUGGGGCCAUGAUACAAUGUAGAUUGGCAUUGAAGCCUGAUGGUCUGUUUCUAGCAGCUAUCCUUGGUGGAGAGACUUUAAAAGAGCUGAGGAUAGCUUGUACUAUUGCUCAAAUGGAACGUGAGGGGGGAAUAAGCCCUCGACUAUCUCCUCUGGCACAAGUCCGUGAUGCAGGAAAUCUUCUGACAAGGGCAGGUUUCACUCUUCCUGGUGUUGAUGUUGAUGAAUAUACUGUCAGAUAUGAUAGUGCUUUGGAGCUUGUUGAACAUCUGCGGGCAAUGGGUGAGACCAAUGCUCUUCUUCAAAGAAAUCCUAAAGAGAGACACGGCCUUGGCUACUGCUGCAGUGUACCAGUCAAUGUUUGGAGCAGAGGAUGGAAGUGUUCCGGCAACUUUCCAGGUAUGACAUAGGUGAACUAUUGCCAUUUUAUGCACUGCAGGCAUCGAAUCAGUGCAAAUGUGACACCUCUUUACACGAGUAUACCUACUAAUGCAGUCAGGUUUCUUCCUUUAGCACUAGUCAUUUACAUGACAGGAUGGAGGGAACAUCCUUCGCAGCAGAAGGCUAGGAGGAGGGGCUCUGCCACUGUAUCAUUUGAGGACAUCCAGAAGCAUUUUGGUAGCAACAGCUAAUGUCUCUCACCUUAUUCUUAACUGUUACAUACUAAAUUCAACAAACAAGAUUUCCAUAUCCAGACUUGGAAACUGUCUAGCUUGGGAAAAUAUAAAAUUCUGUCAGAAAAUAGUGGUCAGCUUCAAGGUCAUUCCACUAUUGGCAUCGCAGUCCACACAGUAUGGCUUGCUGGUGCACAUGAACUAGAAGUCUUGAACUCGAAACCUCUCCAAGGUCUGUAUGCUUCCAGGAGCAAUGGUGGAAAUACUCCUGGUCUAUCUUCAUUCAUUCUAAUAUAAUUAAUCCAGCUGCCUUUGUCCUUUUGUAAGCUAAAUUAUAUGGCUCUUAAAAUGUUUCUCUAGAACCAUACAAAUAGAUGAAGCCUACCCUUGUAAAUAGGUUGAGUACUUGGUUUCCACUGGUAUUUACCACCAUGGGAGAACAAACUCCAGAGUUCAAGCAUAUAUGAAUUGUCCAAUUUCAUCUGAAUUUUGUUCCAAUCCAUUAUUUGUCAUCCCUUUGUAAUAUGUGAUAAGGCAACUGUGAAUAAGACUUCUUUUAAUAUAAAUGAGAUGGUUGGCAGAAGUUUGCCUCAGAUAAUAAUUUACCCAGCCGAUGAUCCGCAUUUAAACCAGGGAGAUGGAAGAAUGAAGAACCUGCAAGGUGGAGAUAUUAGCUAUUUGCCUGUUACCAGUUGUACCAUGUAAAGCCAUGCUGACGGCGAAUUAGAGAUUUUGUGAGAGAAAGUGAAGCAACAAAAAAUGUGCAGGCAUUUACAAUGAUAGAAUGAAAUUGUUGGUUCCAGAUAUUUCUGGCAUACAGCUUGAGAUAAUUGCUAUUGUUACUUGCAUGCUAAAUAGAAUGGAAUUGUUCAUUUGCAUUUUUCUCA